Molecule: transfer RNA, 69 nt
Filed under: Orycteropus afer (aardvark)
Lineage: Eukaryota; Metazoa; Chordata; Mammalia; Tubulidentata; Orycteropodidae
Description: transfer RNA-Arg
Rfam family: tRNA
About the family: Transfer RNA (tRNA) molecules are approximately 80 nucleotides in length. Their secondary structure includes four short double-helical elements and three loops (D, anti-codon, and T loops).
Source: RNAcentral
UGAUAAUUAGUUUAACCUAAAACAAGUGAUUUCGACUCACUAAACUAUGAUCAAACUCAUAAUUAUCAA